GGAGGAAUACCCAAGCUGGCUGAAGGGAUCGGUCUUGAAAACCGACAGGCUGUAAAAGGCGCGGGGGUUCGAAUCCCUCUUCCUCCGCCA
This 90-nucleotide transfer RNA is filed under the name Acholeplasma sp. RNAcentral's name for it is "tRNA-Ser". It matches the Rfam family "tRNA". Rfam says of the family: Transfer RNA (tRNA) molecules are approximately 80 nucleotides in length. Their secondary structure includes four short double-helical elements and three loops (D, anti-codon, and T loops). The record is from RNAcentral. Lineage: Bacteria; Bacillati; Mycoplasmatota; Mollicutes; Acholeplasmatales; Acholeplasmataceae.